This 329-nucleotide ribosomal RNA is filed under the name uncultured eukaryote. RNAcentral describes it as "partial 18S ribosomal RNA". It matches the Rfam family "Eukaryotic small subunit ribosomal RNA", at positions 1470 to 1796 of the family's 1831-position model. The record is from RNAcentral.
CCCUUAGAUGUUCUGGGCCGCACGCGCGCUACACUGAUUCAUGCAACAAGUUUUGUCCUUGGCUGAUAGGCCUGGGUAAUCUUUGAACGUGAAUCGUGAUGGGGAUAGAUGAUUGCAAUUAUUCAUCUUCAACGAGGAAUUCCUAGUAAACGCAAGUCAUCAGCUUGCAUUGAUUACGUCCCUGCCCUUUGUACACACCGCCCGUCGCUCCUACCGAUUGAAUGGUCCGGUGAAAAUUUCGGAUACCGGCAUUGCUGGCGGUUCGCCGCCGGCGACGCUGGUAGAAGAUCUUUAAACCUUAUCAUUUAGAGGAAGGAGAAGUCGUAACA